GCACUAAUGAGGAGUCCGAUAAUAGGACGAAAUGGCCAUCCAGUAC
Molecule: non-coding RNA, 46 nt
Filed under: Schistosoma mattheei
Lineage: Eukaryota; Metazoa; Platyhelminthes; Trematoda; Strigeidida; Schistosomatidae
Source: RNAcentral